CUUUGUUGGGCAGCACAGUACAGGAUGGGAGGACAUCAGAACUGCGCACAACAUUUUUCCAGACCUGUAAAACCUAAGGAUUAUACAAGCUGCUGAUAACACCCUGAUGGACCAGAAAGAAAAUGGCAUAAAGAAGGAGUCUCGGGAGCAGCCAUAGGAGAGAAGAGCGGGUACACAGGCAGAUCGAGUAGCCAUACAGCUGCUGUCUCUACGUCCUGCUGGCAAAAGCUGUCAGCUUUGGCAUGCAGUUUUUUCAUCUUUCUGUGCGUUACGAGUUCCUCUGAUGAGACUGGACUGCCUGGGGCACUGGUGGCUAACCUGUUGUUUCUAAAUUGCUGGUUCAAAUAUAGCCUAGGAAAUUAAAGUCGUGGCCUGUGUGAAAUGAGCUGGUAGUACCCGUCAAUUACCUGGCGGGGAGGCCAUCCCAGAUGGCUCAAAUCAUGGCCUUGCUGACAGCCAAGAAGGGAAGCAAAGGAGCAAAUGUUUUCAUAGAAUGAGCCGCAAUCUCCUCCCCAGGGACAGAGCCUUGGGUUUGAAGCAUAAAAUGGAAAUUUUGGGGCUCAUGGAUUAUUCCUUCUAUUUCUAAAAGUUAGU
Chroicocephalus ridibundus (black-headed gull) is the source of this 594-nucleotide long non-coding RNA. RefSeq lists it as uncharacterized. The transcript has 3 exons. Lineage: Eukaryota; Metazoa; Chordata; Aves; Charadriiformes; Laridae. The record is from RefSeq and is a predicted model, not a curated record.